Salvelinus sp. IW2-2015 is the source of this 1339-nucleotide non-coding RNA. The record is from RefSeq and is a predicted model, not a curated record. NCBI's taxonomy places the organism in Eukaryota, Metazoa, Chordata, Actinopteri, Salmoniformes, Salmonidae.
UUCAGUUUUCUGAUAUCUUUAUCUAUAAAUGUUACUAUGGUGUGAACGGAAAUACAAUUGGUUUUUGAUGUGAAAUACAGCAAAMACAAGGUUAUUCAGGAAAAUAGUACAUAGUGCUGCCUAAAACAUACUGCAACAUUGUACUAAAUGAUUUUUGAGUCAUUUAUAUGAAUUUGGUGAAAUCUACUAGAGGUUAAGUGCAUUUACGUUGUGUAGACUAAUUUAAAGCAGGUACUUUGUCUAAUUUUAAGGAAUUCAUGUUUUGUUCUAUUCUACCUGUUCUAUUGAAAUGAGAUCAGUGCUUAACUUGAACAGAAUAUUAACAGUAUUUUGGAGCUCCUGCACCUAGAAAUGAGUCCUGGCACCUAUUUCAGUCCAAGUCAAGCACUGAAAUAGAUAAUUUAACAAUAAGUAUUUUUUGAGAAUAACGAAAGUGCCAGACCUGUCAAUACUAACUUUUGUGUCUGUUUCUCUUUAUUACUUCAGGCCGACUCAGAUUAAGUCUGAGGUUUGUAACAUCAACAGUGAGGACAGACUCAGCCUGCCUCUCUCCUUCCACAGUGAGUUCAAACCUACAGUCACUGGGUCCUGAUUGUGACAGUGGAGCCCAGUUUGCACRGCAGGAUCCAGAGAUGGCGUCAGUGAAGCUGGAAGACUGCAGUCAAACAAUGGAGCUGAAUGUCAACAUUAAAGAUGAAGACGAUAAGAUUGGGAUAUCUCUUUCUCAAGGAGACCAUGUUGAGACAUUCUCUACAUCCAGAGAGAAACAGCAGGAAGAUCACAGAGCUAAGAGGUCUCACCACUGCCCACAUUGUGAGGAGAAUUUUUCAAUUCUAUCAAAGCUAAAAUAACUAAAAAUACACACAGGAGAGAAUCGUAUUCCUGUACUGACUGUGGGAAGAAUUCACAACAUCAAAGGCUCUGACAGUUCAUCAGAGAGUGCACCUGGAGAGAAGCCUUACUCCUGCCUCUGACUGUGGAAAGAUUUACUUCGACUGGGCACUUAAAAAGACAUGAACGUAUGCACACAGGAGCGAAGCCUUACUCCUGCUCUGAUGUGGAAAGAGUUUCUCUAAACUGUACAACUUAAACAACAUGAACGUGUACUACAGGAGAGAAGCUUUUCCUGCUCUGACUGUGAAAAAUGCUUCAAAAGAUCAACUGCUCUAAAGUUAUCAGAGAACACACACAGGAGAAAAGCCUUACUCCUGCUCUGACUGUGGAAAGGUUUUCUCUCAACUGGUGACUUAAAAAUACAUGAACGUAUACAUAAGGAGAGAAGCCGUACUCCUGCUCUGACUGUGAUAAAUGCUUCAAAACAUCAACUGAGCAAAAAGUU